This is a long non-coding RNA of Hydra vulgaris (swiftwater hydra), 1480 nucleotides long. RefSeq lists it as uncharacterized. Lineage: Eukaryota; Metazoa; Cnidaria; Hydrozoa; Anthoathecata; Hydridae. The record is from RefSeq and is a predicted model, not a curated record.
UUUUUAUUAAAAACUGUCUGAUCUAUUCUUUAAAAGUAAAAAAAGAUCAUAAAUAAAACAAUUAACCAAAGCAAAUAUAAAAAAACAAAAACAGCAUGGGACGCAUAAACGGCACCGAAUAAUUAAUAGAAUAUUAAAUUUGGUUCUGUUUGCUAAGGAAGGACUUUUCGCAAAGGGUUUUUGGCAAUUUAUUUACAAAUUUUUGAUCGUAUCUUUAUUCCAUAAAAAAUUUCAUUCAAUGUUUGUAACAAUCUAUACAACGUUUAAGAAACAAGAACAUGUAUUGCACCAUUAUUGAUUAGUUUGCAAAGUUUGAUCGCUGUAAUAUCCUAGGAUAUUGUUGGCUUAGCAUAGGAAUAUUAACAAAUAGUUAUCAAGAAUAAUCUAAAGUACCGACCGUUAUUGAACGACAUUUUUGCAUACCGAAGUACUACUAAAGCGCUGAGUUAGCGGUGGCCGGAUUUGAACUCGUAUCACACAAUAGUCCAAGUUUUAACAUUUUAUUUGACCCUCUAACCAACUUAGCUAUCCAGGAACAGCCAACUCAGCAACAAUUUGCUGUAAUUCGAGAUCCUGCAUCUUUAGCAGCUAAUGAAUAUCAUCUUACUAAAGUUUAAAAACUUUACUGUUCAACAAAACUAAAAAUUUUAUUCGAAGUAACAGAUAAGUUAAAAGAUGAUUUAAAUAAUGUACGGUAUUCUAGUUUAUGUAAAUUCUACAGUUUUUAGAGUUCUACCAAAUUAAAAUGUUAAAAGACUUCAAUUGCAGUAAUCCGUCUCAAGCAAUCAGACAAAUGGAUUUGAAUAAAAAAGUUUAAGAAACUGUUGGUAUAUUGUAUGCUUAAGUAAAAAGACCGACAAAAAGACAUGCAAUUUUGUAGAACAUCAAAUUAGUGAGCUUACAAGUUUAUUGUGAAACUUCAUUUGAGACUUUCAGACGCUAUUUAUUGAAAUUUGUCUACAAUCAACUCUGGAUUAAAGCGGUCCGAAGCUCCAGUUCAUGUAUGAAGUAAUAAAUGACGUUCGAAGCUCCGGUUCAUGUGUGAAGUAAUAAAUGACGUCUGAAGCUCCGGUUCAUGUAUGAAGUAAUCCGGUUCAUGUAUAAAGCAAUAAAUGACGUUUUUGAAGCAACUUCAAUAAAUUAUAAAACUUUUAUUUAAAAAAAUGUAUUACCUUUUUUACAAACACAAAAGUACAUAUUUGAAAAAAACAUCUGUGCACCUCUUAAUCUUAAUAAUGUUUAUAUUUUUAUAACAUUUUUAAAUAACAGUUACAUACAUUUUUAUAUGUUAGAAAUAGAAUAAAACUUUGUUAUUGAAUCAACAUACAUGGAAAGCAGAUGUUUGCUCAAAUAAGUUUAAUAUUGUAUGUGUCGUAUUGUAUGUGUCGUAUUUACAUCUGAACAACUCGGCGCGGAAUUAUUUUUCAUUUGGAUUUAUUAUACUAUUUAACAUUAUUUUUAAAUUUAUAAAGUGCCUGUA